CUUUUCUGAAAUACUUUUCCUUCUGUUUUUUUAUUUUGUUUAUACUAUCCUUUCUCUUUUUUAGUUUUCUUCAGUUUUUUUCUGCCUGUUUUAAUUUUUUUUUGUUUUUUCUAUAUAUUUAGGGUGUUUUUUCUGAUAUACUUUUCUUUCUGUUUUUUUAAUUUUGUUUAUACUAUCCUUUCUCUUUUUUUAGUUUUCUUUAGUUUUUUGUCUGCCUGUUUUAAGUUUUUUUUAUUAGUUUUUUUAGUUCUUUUUGUUAUAUAUAUUUAGGGUGUUUUUUUUUCGGAAAUAGUUUUCCUUCUGUUUUUUUAUUUUGUUUACACUAUCCUUUCUCCUCUUUUUAGUUCACUUUAGUUUUUUUCUGCCUGUUUUAAGUUUUUUUUUUAGUUUUUUUUAGUUUUUUAAAGUUUUUUUUAGAAAUACUAUUCUUUUUUUUCUUUUUUUAGUUUUCUUUAGUUUUAUUCUGCCUGUUUUUAAGGUUUUUUUUAAGGUUUUUUUCAGUUUUUUGUUAUUUAUAUAUAUAUAUAGGUUGUUUUUUUCUGAAAUACUUUUCCUUCUUUUUUUUAUUUUGUUUAUACUAUCCUUUCUCCUUUUUAGUUUUCUUUAGUUUUUGUCUGCCUGUUAUAAGUUUUUUUUUAGUUUUUUGAAGUUUUUUUUAGAAAUACUAAUCUUCUUUUUAUUAGUUUUCUUUAGUUUUUUUCUGCCUGUUUUAAUUGUUUUGUUUUUUGUUUCCUUUAGUUUUUUUUUCUUCAGUUUUUUUUCCUAUUUUUUUGCCUGGCACCUCUUUCUUGAUGAGCUACUCUUAGUCUGGUCCCUCCCCCAGGACCUGCUGCCUUGGGUAACCUUUCAGAGGCAUAAAGCCCUGACAACAUAGCUCCUGGGAUCAUUGGGACACACAAACCCCUCCACCACGGUAAGGUGGUAGCUCAAGGAGGGGAAAAAACCCUCACAUGGGAGGGAAAAACCGCAAGGGUUUUUUUUUCUGUGCAAAACACCCGGUUUAGGGUGGGUUUUUGUUCUUUUUUUUCGGAAAUACUUUUCAUUUCUUUAGUUUCCUAUAGUUCUUUUUUAUUUUUCUGCCUGUUUUAAGUUUUUUUUCAGAAAUACUGUGAUGUUUCUUUUUUUUUUUUAGUUUUUUUUUUUACGAAUACUAUUCUUUUUCUCAGUUUUCUUUAGUUUUUUUUGUCAUUUAUAAAUAUUAAGGGUUUUCCUUUCUGAAAUACUUUUCCUUCUGUUUUUUUAUUUUGUUUAUACUAUCCUUUCUCUUUUUUAGUUUUCUUUAGUAUUUUCUACCUGUUUUAAGUUUUUUUUUUUUUUUUUUUUUUUUCUAUAUAUUUAGGGUGUUUUUUUCUGAAAUACUUUUCCUUCUGUUUUGUUUUAUUUUGUUUAUACAAUCCUUUCUCUUUUUUAGUUUUCUUUAGUUUUUUUCUGCCUGUUUUAAGUUUUUUUUUUAGUUUUUUUUUGUUUUUUUUCUAUAUAUUUAGGGUGUUUUUUCUGAUAUACUUUUCUUUCUGUUUUUUUUAAUAUUGUUUAUACUAUCAUUUCUCUUUAUUUAGUUUUCUUUAGUUUUUUGUCUGCCUGUUUUAAGAUGUUUUUAUUAGUUUUUUUAGUUCUUUUUGUUAUAUAUAUUUAGGGUGUUUUUUUUCAGAAAUAGUUUUCCUUCUGUUUUUUUUUAUUUUGUUUACACUGUCCUUUCUCUUUUUUUUUAAUUUUCUUUAGUUUUUUGUCUGCCUGUUUUUAGUUUUUUUUUUUAGUUUUUUUUUUAGUUCUUUUUGUAAUAUAUUUAGGGUGUUUUAUCAGAAAUACUUUUCCUUCUGUUUUUUUAUUUUGUUUAUAAUAUCCUUUCUCCUUUUUUAGUUUACUUUAGUUUUUUCUGCCUGUUUUAAGUUUUUUUUUUAGAUUUUUUUUAGUUUUUUAAAGUUUGUUUUAGAAAUACUAUUCUUUUUCUUCUUUUUUUAGGUUUCUUUAGUUUUUUUCUGCCUGUUUUAAGGUUGUUUUUUAGUUUUUUUUUCUUGUUGUUAUUUAUAUAUAUAUAGGUUGUUCUUUUCUGAAAUACUUUUCCUUCUGUUUUUUUUAUUUUGUUUAUACUAUCCUUUCUCUUUUUUAGUUUUCUUUAGUUUUUUUCUGCCUGUUUUAAGUUUUUUUUGUUUUUUCUAUAUAUUUAGGGUGUUUUUUUUCUCAAAUACUUUUCCUUCUGUUUUUUUUAUUUUGUUUACACUAUCCUUUCUCUUUUUUUAAUUUUCUUUAGUUUUUUGUCUGCCUGUUUUUAGUUUUUUUUUUUUUAGUUUUUUUUAGUUCUUUUUGUAAUAUAUUUAGGGUGUUUUAUCAGAAAUACUUUUCCUUCUGUUUUUUUUAUUUUGUUUAUACUAUCCUUUCUCUUUUUUAGUUUUCUUUAGUUUUUUUCUGCCUGUUUUAAGUUUUUUUUAGUUUUUUUAGUUUUUUAGUUUUUUCUAUAUAUUUAGGGUGUUUUUUUCUGAAAUACUUUUCCUUCUGUUUUUUUUAUUUUGUUUAUACUAUCCUUUCUCUUUCUUUAAUUUUCUUUAGUUUUUUGUCUGCCUGUUUUAAGUGUUUUUUUUUAGUUUUUUAAAGUUUUUUUUUAGAAAUACUAUUCUUUUUCUUCUUUUUUUAGUUUUCUUUAGUUUUAUUCUGCCUGUUUUUAAGGGUUUUUUUAGGUUUUUUUCAGUUUUUUGUUAUUUAUAUAUAUAAACAACCUGUUUUAAGGUUGUUUUUUAGUUUUUUUCUUGUUGUUAUUUAUAUAUAUUAAGGGUGUUCUUUUCUGAAAUACUUUUCCUUCUUUUUUUUCAUUUUGUUUAUAAUAUCCUUUCUCUUUUUUAGUUUUCUUUAGUUUUUUUCUCCCUGUUUUAAGUUUUUUUUUUUUUUUUUUUUUUUCUAUAUAUUUAGGGUGUUUUUUUUCUCAAAUACUAUUCUUUUUCUCCUUUUUUUUAGUUUUCUUUAGUUUUAUUCUGCCUGUUUUUAAGGUUUUUUUUUAGUUUUUUUUCAGUUUUUUGUUAUUUAUAUACACUCACUGGCCACUUUAUUAGGUACACCUGUCCAACUGCUCGUUAACACUUAAUUUCUAAUCAGCCAAUCACAUGGCGGCAACUUAGUGCAUUUAGGCAUGUAGACAUGGUCAAGACAAUCUCCUGCAGUUCAAACCGAGCAUCAGUAUGGGGAAGAAAGGUGAUUUGAGUGACUUUGAACGUGGCAUGGUUGUUAGUGCCAGAAGGGCUGGUCUGAGUAUUUCAGAAACUGCUGAUCUACUGGGAUUUUCACGCACAACCAUCUCUAGGGUUUACAGAGAAUGGUCCGAAAAAGAAAAAAUAUCCAGUGAGCGGCAGUUCUGUGGGCGGAAAUGCCUUGUUGAUGCCAGAGGUCAGAGGAGAAUGGCCAGACUGGUUUGAGCUGAUAGAAAGGCAACAGUGACUCAAAUAACCACCCGUUACAACCAAGGUAGGCAGAAGAGCAUCUCUGAACGCACAGUACAUCGAACUUUGAGGCAGAUGGGCUACAGCAGCAGAAGACCACGCCAGGUGCCACUCCUUUCAGCUAAGAACAGGAAACUGAGGCUACAAUUUGCACAAGCUCAUCGAAAUUGGACAAUGAAGAUUGGAAAAACGUUGCCUGGUCUGAUGAGUCUCGAUUUCUGCUACGACAUUCGGAUGGUAGGGUCAGAAUUUGGCGUCAACAACAUGAAAGCAUGGAUCCAUCCUGCCUUGUAUCAACAGUUCUGGCUGGUGGUGGUGGUGUCAUGGUGUGGGGAAUAUUUUCUUGGCACUCUUUGGGCCCCUUGGUACCAAUUGAGCAUCGUUGCAACGCCACAGCCUACCUGAGUAUUGUUGCUGACCAUGUCCAUCCCUUUAUGACCACAAUGUACCCAACUUCUGAUGGCUACUUUCAGCAGGAUAAUGCGCCAUGUCAUAAAGCUGGAAUCAUCUCAGACUGGUUUCUUGAACAUGACAAUGAGUUCACUGUACUCAAAUGGCCUCCACAGUCACCAGAUCUCAAUCCAAUAGAGCAUCUUUGGGAUGUGGUGGAGCGGGAGAUUCGCAUCAUGGAUGUGCAGCCGACAAAUCUGCGGCAACUGUGUGAUGCCAUCAUGUCAAUAUGGACCAAGCUCUCUGAGGAAUGCUUCCAGCACCUUGUUGAAUCUAUGCCACGAAGAAUUGAGGCAGUUCUGAAGGCAAAAGGGGGUCCAACCCGUUACUAGCAUGGUGUACCUAAUAAAGUGGCCGGUGAGUGUAUAUAUAUAGGUUGUUCUUUUCUGAAAUACUUUUCCUUGUGUUUUUUUAUUUUGUUUAUACUAUCCUUUCUAUCCUUCUAUCCUUUAUCCUAUCCUUUCUUUUAGUUUUUUUAGUUCUUUUUGUUAUAUAUAUUUAGGGUGUUUUUUUUCAGAAAUACUUUUCCUUCUGUUUUUUUAAUUUUGUUUACACUAUCCUUUCUCCUUUUUUUGGUUAACUUUAGUUUUUUUCUGCCUGUUUUAAGGUUGUUUUUUAGUUUUUUUUAGUUUUUUAAAGUUUUUUUUUUAGAAAUACUAUCCUUUUCUUCUUUUUUAAUUUUCUUUAGUUUUAUUCUUCCUGUUUUUAAGUUUUUUUUAGUUUUUUUUUAGUUUUUUGUUAUUUAUAUAUAUAGGUUGUUCUUUUCUGAAAUACUUUUCCUUCUGUUUUUUUUAUUUUGUUUAUACUAUCCUUUCUCUUUUUUUUAGUUUUCUUUAGUUUUUUUUCUGCCUGUUUUAAUUUUUUAUUAGAAAAACUAUUCUUUUUCUUCUUUUUUAGUUUUCUUUAGUUUUUUUCUGCAUGUUUAAAGUUGUUUUUUAGUUUUUUUUUGUUAUUUAUAAAUAUUAAGGGUUUUCCUUUCUAAAAUACUUUUCCUUCUGUUUUUUUAUUUUGUUUAUACCAUCCUUUCUCUUUUUUAGUUUUCUUUAGUUUUUUUCUGCCUGUUUUAAGUUUUUUUUUAGUUUUUUUAGUUUUUUAGUUUUUUCUAUAUAUUUAGGGUGUUUUUUCUGAAAUACUUUUCCUUCUGUUUUUUUUAUUUUGUUUAUACUAUCCUUUCUCUUUCUUUAAUUUUCUUUAGUUUUUUGUCUGCCUGUUUUAAGUGGUUUUUUUUAGGUUUUUUUAGUUACUUUUGUAAUAUAUUUAGGGUGUUUUAUCAGAAAUACUUCUGUUUUUUUUAUUUUGUUUAUAAUAUCCUUUCUCCUUUUUUAGUUUACUUUAGUUUUUUCUGCCUGUUUUAAUUUUAUUUUUUAGUUUUUUUUUGUUCUUUUUGUAAUAUAUUUAGGGUGUUUUUUCAGAAAUACUGUUCCUUCUGUUUUUUUUAGUUUUUGUCUGCCUGUUCUAAGUUUUUUUUUAGUUUUUUUUAGUUUUUUUUAGAAAUAAUAAUCUUCUUUUUAUUAGUUUUCUUUAGUUUUUUUCUGCCUGUUUUAAUUUUUCUGUUUUUUGUUUUCUUUAGUUUUUUUUCUUCAGUUUUUUUUUCCUAUUUUUUUGCCUGGCACCUCUGUCUGGAUGAGCUACUCUUAGUCUGGUCCCUCCCCCAGGACCUGUUUGCCUUGGGUAACCUUUCAGAGGCAUAAAGCCCUGACAACAUAGCUCCUGGGAUCAUUGGGACACACAAACCCCUCCACCACGGUAAGGUGGUAGCUCAAGGAGGGGAAAAAACCCUCACAUGGGAGGGAAAAACCGCAAGGGUUUUUUUUUCUGUCCAAAACAACCGGUUUAGGGUGGGUUUUUGUUCUUUUUUUUCAGAAAUACUUUUAUUUUCUUUAGUUUCCUAUAGUUCUUUUUUAUUUUUCUGCCUGUUUUAAGUUUUUUUUUUCAGAAAUACUGUGAUUUUACUUUUUUUUUUUACUUUUUUUUUUUUUACAAAUACUAUUCUUUUUCUUUGUUUUCUUUAGUUUUUUUCUGCAUGUUUAAAGUUUUUUUUUGUUUUUUUUGUUAUUUAUAAAUAUAAAGGGUUUUCCUUUCUAAAAUACUUUUCCUUCUGUUUUUUUUAUUUUGUUUAUACUAUCCUUUCUCUUUUUUAGUUUUCUUUAGUUUUUUUCUACCUGUUUUAAGUUUUUUUUGUUUGUCUUUUUUGUUUUUUCUAUAUAUUUAGGGUCUUUUUUUCUGAAAUACUUUUCCCUCUGUUUUUUUAUUUUGUUUAUACUAUCCUUUCUAUUUUUUAGUUUUCUUUAGUUUUUUUCUGCCUGUUUUAAGUUUUUUUUUUUUUUUUUUUAUAUAUAUUUGGGGUAUUUUUUCUGAUAUACUUUUCUUUCUGUUUUUUCAAUUUUGUUUAUACUAUCCUUUCUCUUUUUUUAGUUUUCUCUAGUUUUUUUCUGCCUGUUUUAAGUUUUUUUAUUAGUUUUUUUAGUUUUUUUCUGUUAUAUAUAAUUAGGGUGGUUUUUUUUCAGAAAUUCUUUUCCUUCUGUUUUUUUAUUUUGUUUACACUAUCCUUUCUCCUCUUUUUAGUUUACUUUAGUUUUUUCUGCCUGUUUUAAGUUUUUUUUUAGUUUUUAAAAGUUUUUUUUAGAAAUACUAUUCUUUUUCUUCUUUUUUUAGUUUUCUUUAGUUUUAUUCUGCCUGUUUUUAAGGGUUUUUUUAGUUUUUUUUCAGUUUUUUUGUUAUUUAUAUAUAUAUAUAGGUUGUUCUUUUCUGAAAUACUUUUCCUUCUGUUUUUUUUUUAUUUUGUUUAUACCAUCCUUUCUAUCCUUUAUUUCUUUAGUUUUUUUCUGCCUGUUUUAAGUUUUUUUUUUUUUUUUUUUUUUUUUUUUCUAUAUAUUUGGGGUGUUUUUUCUGAUAUACUUUUCUUUCUGUUUUUUCAAUUUUGUUUAUACUAUCCUUUCUCUUUUUUUAGUUUUCUCUAGUUUUUUUUCUGCCUGUUUUAAGUUUUUUUAUUAGUUUUUUUAGUUUUUUUCUGUUAUAUAUAAUUAGGGUGUUUUUUUUUUCAGAAAUUCUUUUCCUUCUGUUUUUUAUUUUGUUUACACUAUCCUUUCUCCUCUUUUUAGUUUACUUUAGUUUUUUCUGCCUGUUUUAAGUUUUUUUUUAGUUUUUAAAAGUUUUUUUUAGAAAUACUAUUCUUUUUCUUCUUUUUUUAGUUUUCUUUAGUUUUAUUCUGCCUGUUUUUAAGGGUUUUUUUUAGUUUUUUUUUCAGUUUUUUUGUUAUUUAUAUAUAUAUAUAGGUUGUUCUUUUCUGAAAUACUUUUCCUUCUGUUUUUUUUUUUUAUUUUGUUUAUACCAUCCUUUCUAUCCUUUAUCCUAUCCUUUCUUUUAGUUUUUUUAGUUCUUUUUGUUAUAUAUAUUUAGGGUGUUUUUUUUCAGAAAUAUUUUUCCUUCUGUUUUUUUAAUUUUGUUUACACUAUCCUUUCUCCUUUUUUUAGUUUACUUUAGUUUUUUCUGCCUGUUUUAAGUUUUUUUUUAUUUUUUUAACGUUUUUUUAGAAAUACUAUUCUUUUUCUUCUUUUUUAGUUUACUUUAGUUUUAUUCUGCCUGUUUGUAAGUGUUUUUUUAAGUUUUUUUUGUUUUUUUGUUAUUUAUAUAUAUAUAUGUUGUUCUUUUCUGAAAUACUUUUCCUUCUGUUUUUUAUUUUGUUUAUACUAGCCUUUCUCUUUUUUUUAGUUUUCUUUAGUUUUUUUUCUGCCUGUUUUAAUUUUUUUUUUUUUUUUUUUGUUUUUUCUAUAUAUUUAGGGUGCUUUUUUCUGAUAUACUUUUCUUUCUGUUUUUUUUUAUUUUGUUUUAACUAUCCUUUCUCUUUUGUAGUUUUCUUCAUUUUUUUCUUCAUGUUUUAAUUUUUUUUUUAGUUUUUUCUAUAUAUUUAGGGUGUUUUUUUCUGAAAUACUUUUCCUUCUGUUUUUUUUAUUUUGUUUAUACUAUCCUUUCUCUUUUUUUAAUUUUCUUUAGUUUUUUGUCUGCCUGUUUUAAGUUUUUCUUUUAGUUUUUUUAGUUAUUUUUGUAAUAUAUUAAGGGUGUUUUAUCAGAAAUACUUUUCCUUCUUUUUUUUAUUUUGUUUAUAAUAUCCUUUCUCCUUUUUUAGUUUACUUUAGAUUUUUCUGCCUGUUUUAAGUUUUUUUAAAGUUUUUUUUAGUUCUUUUUGUAAUAUAUUUAGGGUGUUUUUUCAGAAAUACUGUUCCUUCUGUUUUUUUUAGUUUUUGUCUGCCUGUUCUAAGUUUUUUUUUAGUUUUUUGAAGUUUUUUUUAGAAAUAAUAAUCUUCUUUUUAUUAUUUUUCUUUAGUUUUUUUCUGCCUGUUUUAAUUUUUCUGUUUUUUGUUUUCUUUAGUUUUUUUUCUUCAGUUUUUUUUUCCUAUUUUUUUGCCUGGCACCUCUGUCUGGAUGAGCUACUCUUAGUCUGGUCCCUCCCCCAGGACCUGUUUGCCUUGGGUAACCUUUCAGAGGCAUAAAGCCCUGACAACAUAGCUCCUGGGAUCAUUGGGACACACAAACCCCUCCACCACGGUAAGGUGGUAGCUCAAGGAGGGGAAAAAACCCUCACAUGGGAGGGAAAAACCCGAGGGUUUUUUUUUCUGUCCAAAACAACCGGUUUAGGGUGGGUUUUUGUUCUUUUUUUUCAGAAAUACUUUUCAUUUCUUUAGUUUCCUAUAGUUCUUUUUUAUUUUUCUGCCUGUUUUAAGUUUUUUUUUUCAGAAAUACUGUGAUUUUACUUUUUUUUUUACUUUUUUUUUUUUACAAAUACUAUUCUUUUUCUUUGUUUUCUUUAGUUUUUUUCUGCAUGUUUAAAGUUUUUUUUUGUUUUUUUUGUUAUUUAUAAAUAUAAAGGGUUUUCCUUUCUAAAAUACUUUUCCUUCUGUUUUUUUUAUUUUGUUUAUACUAUCCUUUCUCUUUUUUAGUUUUCUUUAGUUUUUUUCUACCUGUUUUAAGUUUUUUUUGUUUGUCUUUUUUGUUUUUUCUAUAUAUUUAGGGUCUUUUUUUCUGAAAUACUUUUCCCUCUGUUUUUUUAUUUUGUUUAUACUAUCCUGUCUAUUUUUUAGUUUUCUUUAGUUUUUUUCUGCCUGUUUUAAGUUUUUUUUUUUUUUUUUUUCUAUAUAUUUGGGGUAUUUUUUCUGAUAUACUUUUCUUUCUGUUUUUUCAAUUUUGUUUAUACUAUCCUUUCUCUUUUUUUAGUUUUCUCUAGUUUUUUUCUGCCUGUUUUAAGUUUUUUUAUUAGUUUUUUUAGUUUUUUUCUGUUAUAUAUAAUUAGGGUGGUUUUUUUUCAGAAAUUCUUUUCCUUCUGUUUUUUUAUUUUGUUUACACUAUCCUUUCUCCUCUUUUUAGUUUACUUUAGUUUUUUUCUGCCUGUUUUAAGUUUUUUUUUUAGUUUUUAAAAGUUUUUUUUAGAAAUACUAUUCUUUUUUUUCUUUUUUUAGUUUUCUUUAGUUUUAUUCUGCCUGUUGUUAAGGUUUUUUUUUAGGUUUUUUUCAGUUUUUUUGUUAUUUAUAUAUAUAUAUAGGUUGUUCUUUUCUGAAAUACUUUUCCUUCUGUUUUUUUUUUAUUUUGUUUAUACCAUCCUUUCUAUCCUUUAUUUCUUUAGUUUUUUUCUGCCUGUUUUAAGUUUUUGUUUUUUUGUUUUUUUGUUUUUUCUAUAUAUUUCGGGUGUUUUUUCUGAUAUACUUUUCUUUCUGUUUUUUCAAUUUUGUUUAUACUAUCCUUUCUCUUUUUUUAGUUUUCUCUAGUUUUUUUUCUGCCUGUUUUAAGUUUUUUUAUUAGUUUUUUUAGUUUUUUUCUGUUAUAUAUAAUUAGGGUGUUUUUUUUUCAGAAAUUCUUUUCCUUCUGUUUUUUUAUUUUGUUUACACUAUCCUUUCUCCUCUUUUUAGUUUACUUUAGUUUUUUCUGCCUGUUUUAAGUUUUUUUUUAGUUUUUUAAAGUUUUUUUUAGAAAUACUAUUCUUUUUCUUCUUUUUUUAGUUUUCUUUAGUUUUAUUCUGCCUGUUUUUAAGGGUUUUUUUUAGUUUUUUUUUCAGUUUUUUUGUUAUUUAUAUAUAUAUAUAGGUUUUUCUUUUCUGAAAUACUUUUCCUUCUGUUUUUUUUUUUUAUUUUGUUUAUACCAUCCUUUCUAUCCUUUAUCCUAUCCUUUCUUUUAGUUUUUUUAGUUCUUUUUGUUAUAUAUAUUUAGGGUGUUUUUUUUCAGAAAUACUUUUCCUUCUGUUUUUUUAAUUUUGUUUACACUAUCCUUUCUCCUUUUUUUAGUUUACUUUAGUUUUUU
Molecule: long non-coding RNA, 10163 nt
Filed under: Xyrichtys novacula (pearly razorfish)
Lineage: Eukaryota; Metazoa; Chordata; Actinopteri; Labriformes; Labridae
Source: RNAcentral